RNAcentral lists this ribosomal RNA (292 nucleotides) under uncultured bacterium. RNAcentral describes it as "partial 16S ribosomal RNA". It matches the Rfam family "Bacterial small subunit ribosomal RNA", at positions 505 to 796 of the family's 1533-position model. The record is from RNAcentral.
GUGCCAGCCGCCGCGGUAAUACGUAGGCAGCAAGCGUUGUUCGGAAUUACUGGGCGUAAAGAGUGCGUAGGUGGUUGGCCAAGUUUGGUGUGAAAUCUCCCGGCUUAACUGGGAGGGUGCGCCGAAAACUGGCCGGCUAGAGUGUGGGAGAGGGAAGCGGAAUUCCAGGUGUAGCGGUGAAAUGCGUAGAUAUCUGGAGGAACGCCUGCGGUGUAGACGGCUUCCUGGACCAUGACUGACACUGAGGCACGAAAGCGUGGGUAGCAAACAGGAUUAGAUACCCCGGUAGUCC